AGGAAUGAAUAAGAGUGCCAUUCCCUGUUAAAACAUUCCUCUGCUAUUAGUUUCAAAUGUGUAGCGACGAGGCAGAGAGAGAGAGAGGGAGAGAGACGGUCCUUGUGUAUUACAGACUGAAGAAUGGACAAUUCUUACAAAUGGCAGCUGCAUGGAAGUCCAAGGUCAAGGCACGUCUAGUCGGAAGUCCAAGUUCAAGUUAAAGGAGGCGGUCAGUUCCUCUGCAGACAUGUUAAUUGCGACAGCAUGUAAUGACAUCUGGGUGUUUACUGUGCUGACUGGCUGAGACUCGCCGCAGGCUGAAUGAGUACCUGAGGGGUGGCUGGAUGGCGCGGCAGGCCGGUUUAUGAGGAGGGAUGGUAAACAGACAGCAGCGAUGGCCAAAACCAAGGUCCUGCCCUUUGGAUCGAGCAAGUCUGAGGCCAGAGGAAAGAGCCAGCCAAGCAGGAAGCAAACGCAUGCUCCCUAUUCACUACAUCAUAAAUGCUCUCUUCAUUCCAGCCAAAUCUGAGCUGUUCCUCAAGAACUUGGACAUUAUAUAAUGCGUCUAUAAUUUAUAGCUAAUCCUUAAUAAUCCAUUAUUCAGGAACGUGGAUUUCCAGUGAAAGCACUAUAGUUGAGAUGUUCAUUAAUAUCAUCAUCGCAGCAUUCUGAUGGUUUGUUUUCCCCACAGAUGGAUUUGUUCUAAAAUAUGAGGGCAUUCAAAAUCCCACAAGACUCAAUACUGGAUCAGAUCCAGUUUCACUUAAUACUUCCUCUCUCAUCCUUGUGAUGUUAAUCAUUGUCCCACAGUUACCAGUGUUCUUUUAUCACACAACACUUUUAUAGGAAGACAUAAUGUUUGGCUGUAAACAUGUCUCCAACAACAUGCUGCUACAUUUGUAUGCCAACAGAUCCUGAAACCCACAUGAAACUAAUUACAUCAUCCACCAUUCUUAAAAAAAUGUUGUGCCGUCAGACAGAAAGAAAGAUCAACGGAGAGACAGACAGAUAAAGAGAGGCAGAAAGACAGGUUUGCGACGUUAAGCUGAGGUCUUCUUGUUUGGUAUAUUCUCCUUGGCACUAAAAGUCAUAAAAGGCCUUCAGGUUUUACAAUGUCAUGUCCAAACGCAGCAUCCCCCACGGCUUCUCUUUCCCCUUCUCUCUCUUUCUCUCUUCCCUCCCUCUGAGCUACCUUCACCUCCCCCCAUGCUUUCUUCCAUCAUCAGUCGAAAAAGACAAGCAUAUUCUUACUGCUGAAAAGCACUAUGAAUAUUGUUGAAAAGUACAGACUGGAAGGAAUUUAGUGGUCUCGUGUUUGCGUGCCAUUGAUUUUGUUGACAGUGGUCAGAAUGUUCUAAUGCAUGUGGUACAGAUCGAACGAUCUCAAAACCGCUUUUGCUACUGAUGGCUUUCCAAGAACACAUCAGAAGUGCCGCUUUAGGCUUAUGAUGCCAGUGCGAGUCCCUUUUAGUGUUUCUUGCUGCUUUUGAACACUUAUUGUUUUAAAAAUGGCAAACAGUACAGAUAAAAAAAAGUCUUCAAUGUUUAAAAAAAAUUGACUUUGCA
Molecule: long non-coding RNA, 1548 nt
Organism: Rhinichthys klamathensis goyatoka
Lineage: Eukaryota; Metazoa; Chordata; Actinopteri; Cypriniformes; Leuciscidae
Exons: 4
Source: RefSeq, a predicted model, not a curated record